UAUUAUUUAUUUAAAAUUUAUAGGAUUGGAAUUUUUUAUUAUUAAUAGUAUGUUAUAAUAAGUUUUAAUUGUAAAUUUAAUUUAUAUAUAAUUUUAAAUUUUUUAUUAAAAUUAUUAAUUAAAUGGAAAAUUUAAUGUAAUAAUGAUAAAAUUAGUAUAAUUUAAUGUAAAUUUAAUUUAAAGUAUUAAGGUUAAAUUAAGGAACUCGGCAAAUUAUUUUCCCGCCUGUUUAUUAAAAACAUGUCUUUUUGAUUAUAAUUUAAAGUCUGGCCUGCCCUAUGAUUUAUUAAUUAAAUGGCCGCGAUAUUUUGAUCGUGCAAAGGUAGCAUAAUAAUUAGUUUUUUAAUUGAGAACUGGUAUGAAUGGUCGGACGAGGAAAAGACUGUCUCAAUUUAAUUUAAAUUAGAAUUUUAUUUUUAAGUCAAAAAGCUUAAAUAUAUUUAAAAGACGAGAAGACCCUAUAGAGUUUUAUAUAAUAUGUAAUUUUAAAGAAUGAAGUAUUUAAUAUUUUUUAAUUAGUAUUAUAUUUGGUUGGGGUGACUAAAAAAUUAAUUUAACUUUUUUUAUAUUAUAACAUUAAUGUAUGAGUAAGUGAUCCAUAUUAUUAUGAUUAAAAGAUUAAAUUACCUUAGGGAUAACAGCGUAAUUUCUUUUGAGAGUUCUUAUCGAAAGAGAAGUUUGCGACCUCGAUGUUGGAUUAAAAUAAACUUUUAGUGCAGUAGCUAAAAUAGUUGGGUCUGUUCGACCUUUAAAAUUUUACAUGAUCUGAGUUUAAACCGGUGUGAGCCAGGUUGGUUUCUAUCUUUAAAUAAUUUAAAUAUUUUAGUACGAAAGGACCAAGUAUUUAUAAAAUUUAUUUAUUUCUGAAUAUUAAUAAA
This 878-nucleotide ribosomal RNA is filed under the name Onitis fulgidus. RNAcentral describes it as "partial 16S ribosomal RNA". The stretch from base 443 to 806 matches the Rfam family "Bacterial large subunit ribosomal RNA", at positions 2075 to 2645 of the family's 2925-position model. The record is from RNAcentral. Lineage: Eukaryota; Metazoa; Arthropoda; Insecta; Coleoptera; Scarabaeidae.